Molecule: ribosomal RNA, 273 nt
Filed under: uncultured bacterium
Lineage: Bacteria
Description: partial 16S ribosomal RNA
Rfam family: Bacterial small subunit ribosomal RNA
Source: RNAcentral
UACGUAGGGGGCGAGCGUUGUCCGGAUUUAUUGGGCGUAAAGAGCGUGUAGGCGGCCAGGUAGGUCAGCUGUGAAAACUCGAGGCUCAACCUCGAGAUGUCGGCUGAAACCAUCUGGCUAGAGUCCGGAAGAGGAAAGUGGAAUUCCCGGUGUAGCGGUGAAAUGCGCAGAUAUCGGGAAGAACACCCGUGGCGAAGGCGGCUUUCUGGGACGGUACUGACGCUGAGACGCGAAAGCGUGGGGAGCGAACAGGAUUAGAAACCCCGGUAGUCC